RNAcentral lists this long non-coding RNA (4781 nucleotides) under Sus scrofa (pig). RNAcentral describes it as "lncRNA (ENSSSCG00060007676.1)". The record is from RNAcentral. Lineage: Eukaryota; Metazoa; Chordata; Mammalia; Artiodactyla; Suidae.
AUCUGUAACCCACUGUGCCUGGCCAGGGAUCGAACAGGGAUCACCAGCAGGAAGUCCUCCCUUGAAAGUUUGAUCCUGCUUAUCUACCCAAUGUAGAAGUGAGUCAUAUAAAAGAUAAUCCAGAACAUUUGCAUUCUGCCUUUUAUUUUGUCCUCAAGGCAUGCCCUCUGGGCCUCAACACCCAAGGAAAUGCCUUGUCCUAGAGAAAAUGAAUCCCAUUCUCCUCCUCUCCACACCCCCUAAGGAAGUGUUGCUCACUGAAACCUGAAAGUAUUGAGGGUAGGGAUGAUGUCUUCAUUGCUUUUUUAAUCCCCAGGGCCAGCCCUACUGCUUGGUAUCCAGCAGAAAUUCAGCGAAGGUAUAAUGAGUAAGCUGGACAAUGUUUUCAUCCAAAAAAGGGAAUGGAUUUGGAUCAAUAGUAGAGUGGGUGUUAUUUAUAUGAUAGCAUUUUCAAUUGCGCCAAAUUAUCAAUUUUUACCUAGAGGAAAGACUGUAGUAGUGAGGAGACUUGUUUGCCCCAAAUCUAAACACUGGAAGACUUAUGAGUUGUCUAUGUGCCAGUUACUAGGGUGUCAAGACUCAAAUGCCUUUUAUUCAUUCUUCCAACCUGUCAAUACUUAUCUACUACAUUAAGUGCUAGACAUUGAGCACAUUUCCUCUGUGUUAGCACUCAUUUUUUGCCCCAUACCGAAGAAUAAAAGUUUUGUGAAAUUUCUCAAUACUUUAGAACACAAGGCAACAACCUUAAAGAAAUUACCUGUUUCCCAACCUAAAUGUCCAUUGACGAAUGGAUUAAGAAGAUGUGGUACACAUACACAAUGACAUACUACUCAGCCAUAAAAAAGAAUAAUGACAUUUGUAGCAACACAGAUGGAACGAGAGACUCUCAUACUAAGUAAGUCAGAAAGAGAAAAACAAGUACCAUAUGAUAUCACUUAUAUCUGGAAUCUAGUGUACAGCACAAAUACACCCUUCCACAGAAAAGAAAAUCAUGGACUUGUAGAACAAACUUGUGGUUGCCAAGGGGGAGGGAGAGGGAGUGGGAUGGAUUAGGAAUCUGGGCUUAAUAGAUGCAAAAACUAUUGCCUCUGGAAUGGAUUAGCAAUGAGAUCCUGCUGUAUAGCACUGGGAACACUAUCUAGUCACUUUCGAGGGAGCAUGAUAGAGGAUAAUAAAAAAAAAAGGAUGUAUGUAUGUAUGUGUGACUGGAUCACUUUGCUGUAUAGCAGGAAAUUGACAGAACACUGUAAACCAACUAUAACGGGAAAAAAAAAUCGUUAAAAAAAAUAAAGUACCUGUUUCCAAAUGCACCCCCAGUAUAUUAAAAACACACGUAGUCAUGAAUUUUCCAUAAACUAUACAUCUUUCAAUUAGACAAGAGAAUUAUUUCUAGAAGGUUUUGAACACUGACAGUAUGGUAUUUAACAUGUUUUUAAGAAAUUCUCCUAAGGAGACAGUGAGUUCAAAGGGCUUAAAAAAACUCAAGAAGGGUUUUCCUUUUUUUUUUUUUUUUUUUUCUACAAAGUCUUCCUGUUAUACAACCUAAAAUAUGUUAGUAUUUGGUGGGGGGAUUUAACUGCCAGUCAUAGACACUUGCCUGUAACAGACAACAUGAUAGUUCAUUUAUCAAUAAGUACUAUCCUUUUUACCGGCAAAUAAGUGCCUCAUGUAACCAUUUUUCACCAUCUCCUCUGCUGUCAUCCCAAUUAAGCCUCCAUCGUCUCUUAUCUAGACUAUAACAUCCCAAUUAAGCCUCCAUCAUCUCUUAUCUAGACUCUAACAGCCUCCUCACAGAGCAAAGUCAUCUUCCCAAAGUAGAAAUCCAACCUUGUCCCUCCCUUCCUUAAACUCCAACUGCUUCUGCAUAUUUAGGGAACCUUCAUAUCACUUUGACUUCUAACAUUAGCUGCAAAGUGUAAGAGUCUCCGAGAUCACCCCUCCACACUUAUGACACCAAUUUCAAGUUUAAGAGUCAUCACCACCUCAGGUCUGAAAAUGUUCUAUCAAGACUCACAGAACUCACCGAACACUAUUAUACACAUGGUUAUGACUUAUUACAGUCAAAGGAUAUACACUGAAAUCAGCGAAGUGAAGGUGUGUGUGGGAACCCCAGAAGGGCUCCAUGCACAAAGCAUCCAGUUGUCCUUUCCAAGGGAGUCACUUACAGCACUCACUUUUUCCAGCAAUGUCGUCUCAUGGUUAUCGCUGAGUAUUGCCAACUAGAGAAGCUCACCCAAGACUUGAUAUCCAGAAUUUUUAUUGGGGCUCAGGCACCUAGACAUCGUUGACUGCCUAUAUGGCUCAUCUUUAGCCUCCAGUUUCCCUUGAGGUUCAGCACAAAGCCACCAGCAUAAAUCACACCACUAGACUAUGCUCAGGUAAACAAAGAUACUUUUAUCAGGUAGAAUAUCACGAGGGGCUUCCAGGGGACAAGGGCAAAGACCAGACCUCUCCAAUGUAGGGUUAAGUGUUCCCAAUACUUUUGGAACAAAAACUUAUCACAGUUGCAAAGCCAGCUAAGAUCUGGCCCGUACCUGCCUUACCUACAUCUCCAUUUCCCCAUUAGUUGCUCUGUUCCAGUCACAUCAGCUUCCUUCUAUAAUUAUUUUUUUAAUGACCACACCUGCAGCAUAUGGAAGUUCCCAGGCCAGGGACUGCAUCCGAGCCACAGCUUUGACCUAAACUGGAUUCUUUAACCCAAACUGGAUUCUUUAACCCACUGUGCAGGCCACGCAUUGAUGGCACACCUCCAUAGCAACCCGAGCCACUGCUGUCAGAUUCUUAACCCACUGUGCCAUAUCAGGAACUCCAGCCUUCUUUUGGUGUCUGGGACACACCCAGCUCCAACUCAAGACAUUGUUCUUGCUGUUCCUUCUGCCUAAAUGCUCCUUCCCAGAUGUUCACACAGUUCUCUGCUAUUCAUCAAAAUAAAUGCCACCUCCUCAGAGAGGCCUUCCCUAAAUACCCUAGCAAAAGCAGCCACAACCUGUCUCCCAACACACAGAUGCACACACACAUGCACACACAACAGAUGUGUUCAUGUAGUGUGUACAUGUACACAUCACACACACACACACUCCACCACAUGACACUUUUUCUUCAUAGUACUUUUAAGGACGUAAAUUACAUUAACUGUUUAUUGCCUCUCUGUUGUUUACAAUAGAAGGUAAGCUCCAUCUUGUUCACCAGUCUUUUCCCAGUAUAUAGAUUGGUACCUAAUAGCUAGUGUCUAUUCAAAAAUAUAUGUGGAUUGUAUAUGUGCCUGAUAUUAGACAGGUAUGGACACAAAGAAUUAUAACUUAUCUGAGCUGACUUCAGAUUAAUUACAUUCCUGUAAUGUUAAGAAGCAGUCUCUUUCUCUUAGCAAGAGACUAGGCACUGUAUGCCAUCUAUAAUUAACCAAGGGAAAACAUUAGUAGGAAUAUAUGAAAUAUGAUCAAAUGAAUGAGACUGAUUUUCCUCUGUGUAUUAUUAAAUCAGUCUCACUAUUUUGUGGUCAUAUAUUACAAUGGUGACUUAACUAUGAGGUUAUCAGUGGUAGAAAAAAAAAAGAUGAGAUGACAGGAUGGACCCAGGAGAACAGAGCUGAGUCUCCUUAUCUUUUCUUCCAUUUAAGAAAAACCCAAGUUCCUAAUUAAUGUUAUGCAAUGAAAAGUACAAGGUGAUUAUUCAUCAAUUAAGAAAUGAGACAGUCAAACUGUCCAAUAUGAUAUGCUAAUAGUGGAUACAUGUAUUAUACAUCUGUCAAAAUCCCUAAACCACACAACAGCAAGAGACGCUAAUGUCAGCAAUGCUUUAGUUAAAAAUGGUUUAUCAACAUUGGUUCAUUGAUUGUAAUAAAAAUACCACACUGUUAAAAGCAAGACAACAGGGACAAAGGGGAGUCACUUAUCCUAACCUCCAUGUUAGCAAACUGAGACUUAAUUACAGUUUUGGCCUCUCCCACAAAUGGAAUCUUAAACCAGUCAGUCAGGAAGCCCCUGGUCAGCACUUGUUAACUUAUCUGCCUAGAAGACCACUGCCAAGUCCUAACGCAAAGGGACCUUGCCCAAGCCAAUCCACUUUUUGCUACUACGGGUAUACCCUGGUUUUCCAGUUUGCCUUCUGCCACUUUGCCUUCAUGAAAGACCUAUCUUAGUACCUGUUUUCACUCACCGAAAGAAAUCUGAAGAUUUUUGCUUUUAGCAAAAGAAAAGGAAAAAAAAAAAAAAAAAAAAAAAAAGGCAGGGUAGGGGGUGGAUGAAGCCUGCGAACAGCAUUUGUUUUGCAGGCAGGCUUCACAGAGGUAGCUCACACCCAGAGCAGCAAGAGGGGCCCCACUAAGCUCUUCCCUAAGAACCACACUCAAUAGCUCAGCAUCCAAUCACCCUAACUUUCAACUGUGUCUGCAAGCAAACUCUGUCCUAAGGUAAUCAUGUCUUCACUUGACACCAUUUCAGCUUAUAGGAAAUUUCAGAGGAAUGCUCUAAUUUCAGACUAAGGGGGAAACCGAUCAAAGUUGCUGUCCCAGUCUCUUCCACCUAUAAAAAGUCUGUCAUUUUGUACAGCUCUUCGGCGCUCCUUUCCGUGUGCUGGAUGGGAUGCUGGCCUGUUCACAAAUAGAGCCAGUAACAUCUUUACAUUUUAUUCAGUCCAACUUUGUUUGGUAACAACAAGAUGUGAAUGGGGAAGUGAGGAGGAGAGACAGGAAGCACAUGGGAACUCUGCCAAAAAAGAAACCCUAUUAAUUUUUUUUUUUUUUUGUCUUUUUUUUUGCUAUUUCUUGGGCCGCUCCUGCGGCA